CCUACGGGUGGCAGCAGUGGGGAAUAUUGCACAAUGGGGGAAACCCUGAUCCAGCGACGCCGCGUGAGUGAAGAAGUAAUUCGUUAUGUAAAGCUCUAUUAGCAGGGAAGAAAAUGACGGUACCUGAGUAAGAAGCCCCGUCUAACUACGUGCCAGCAGCCGCGGUAAUACGUAGGGGGCAAGGGUGAUCCGGAUGUACUGGGUGUAAAGGGAGCGUAGACGGCAGUGCAAGUCUGGAGUGAAAGGCGGGGGCUCAACCCCCGGACUGCUCUGGAUACUGUCGGGCUGGAGUGCAGGAGCGGUAAGUGGAAUGCCUAGUGUAGCGGUGAAAUGCGUAGAUAUUAGGCAGAACACCAGUGGCGAAGGCAGCUUACUGGACUGUAACUGACGUUGAGGCUCGAAAGCGUGGGGAGCAAACAGGAUUAGAUACCCCGGUAGUC
This 440-nucleotide ribosomal RNA is filed under the name uncultured bacterium. RNAcentral's name for it is "partial 16S ribosomal RNA". It matches the Rfam family "Bacterial small subunit ribosomal RNA", at positions 338 to 795 of the family's 1533-position model. The record is from RNAcentral.